GACGAACGCUGGCGGCGUGCUUAACACAUGCAAGUCGAACGGAAAGGCCCUGCUUUUGUGGGGUGCUCGAGUGGCGAACGGGUGAGUAACACGUGAGUAACCUGCCCUUGACUUUGGGAUAACUUCAGGAAACUGGGGCUAAUACCGGAUAGGAGCUCCUGCUGCAUGGUGGGGGUUGGAAAGUUUCGGCGGUUGGGGAUGGACUCGCGGCUUAUCAGCUUGUUGGUGGGGUAGUGGCUUACCAAGGCUUUGACGGGUAGCCGGCCUGAGAGGGUGACCGGCCACAUUGGGACUGAGAUACGGCCCAGACUCCUACGGGAGGCAGCAGUGGGGAAUAUUGCACAAUGGGCGGAAGCCUGAUGCAGCAACGCCGCGUGCGGGAUGACGGCCUGCGGGUUGUAAACCGCUUUCGCCUGUGACGAAGCGUGAGUGACGGUAAUGGGUAAAGAAGCACCGGCUAACUACGU
RNAcentral lists this ribosomal RNA (467 nucleotides) under uncultured bacterium. RNAcentral describes it as "partial 16S ribosomal RNA". It matches the Rfam family "Bacterial small subunit ribosomal RNA", at positions 28 to 506 of the family's 1533-position model. The record is from RNAcentral.